This 254-nucleotide ribosomal RNA is filed under the name uncultured bacterium. RNAcentral describes it as "partial 16S ribosomal RNA". It matches the Rfam family "Bacterial small subunit ribosomal RNA", at positions 524 to 776 of the family's 1533-position model. The record is from RNAcentral.
UACGGGGGGAGCAAGCGUUGUUCGGAUUUACUGGGCGUAAAGGGCGCGUAGGCGGUCAGCACAAGUCAGUUGUGAAAUCUCCGGGCUUAACUCGGAAAGGUCAACUGAUACUGUGCGACUAGAGUGCAGAAGGGGCAACUGGAAUUCUCGGUGUAGCGGUGAAAUGCGUAGAUAUCGAGAGGAACACCUGCGGCGAAGGCGGCGACCUGGACAAGUACUGACACUCAACUACGAAAGCGUGGGGAGCAAACAGG